ACCGUCUGUGAUGAUAAAAGAUCACUAUUUUCGAGUGAUGAGCUAUGAGAAUAAUCUUUCUUACAUGCACUACCAUCUGAGACAGU
Molecule: non-coding RNA, 86 nt
Organism: Strongylocentrotus purpuratus (purple sea urchin)
Lineage: Eukaryota; Metazoa; Echinodermata; Echinoidea; Camarodonta; Strongylocentrotidae
Source: Rfam